GUGAUGGCUCAAUAGGUAAAGUGCUUGCUUUGCAAGCAUGAGGACCUGAGUUCGAUACCUAGAACUCACA
This 70-nucleotide transfer RNA is filed under the name Neotoma lepida (desert woodrat). It matches the Rfam family "tRNA". From Rfam's summary of the family: Transfer RNA (tRNA) molecules are approximately 80 nucleotides in length. Their secondary structure includes four short double-helical elements and three loops (D, anti-codon, and T loops). Lineage: Eukaryota; Metazoa; Chordata; Mammalia; Rodentia; Cricetidae. The record is from Rfam by way of RNAcentral.